This 1367-nucleotide ribosomal RNA is filed under the name metagenome. RNAcentral's name for it is "SSU rRNA". It matches the Rfam family "Eukaryotic small subunit ribosomal RNA", at positions 6 to 1368 of the family's 1831-position model. The record is from RNAcentral.
GGUUGAUCCUGCCAGUAGUCGUAUGCUUGUCUCAAAGAUUAAGCCAUGCAUGUCUAAGUACACACUUUGGUAAAGUGAAACCGCGAAUGGCUCAUUAAAUCAGCUACAAUUUAUUAGAUCGUACACUGUUACUUGGAUAACUGUGGGAAUUCUAGAGCUAAUACAUGCCGAGAGUCUCUGCUCUUCGGGGCAGAGCGUAGUUAUUAGACCAAAACCAGCCGUAUUCUUCGGGGUACGCUCUUUUGGUGACUCUGGAUAACCUUCAGCCGAUCGCAUGGCCUCGUGCCGGCGACGUAUCUUUCAAGUGUCUGCCCUAUCAACUUUCGAUGGUACGUGAUAUGCCUACCAUGGUGAUAACGGGUAACGGGGAAUCAGGGUUCGAUUCCGGAGAGGGAGCCUGAGAAAUGGCUACCACAUCCAAGGAUGGCAGCAGGCGCGCAAAUUACCCACUCCCAGCUUGGGGAGGUAGUGACGAAAAAUAACAAUGCGGGACUCUAAGAGGCCCCGUAAUUGGAAUGAGUACACCUUAAAUCGUUUAACGAGUAUCAAUUGGAGGGCAAGUCUGGUGCCAGCAGCCGCGGUAAUUCCAGCUCCAAUAGCGUAUAUUAAAGUUGCUGCAGUUAAAAAGCUCGUAGUUGGAUCUGGGGCUUGAGGUCGCUGUCUAUCGUUUCGGCGAUGACGGUGAUGCUCAGCUCUGCUUGCCGGUGACUGUUGCGGUGUUCUUCACUGAGCGCUGUAGCAGCACGGCACGUUUACUUUGAAAAAAUUAGAGUGCUCAAAGCGUGCUUGUCGCUUGAAUAAUGUUGCAUGGAAUAAUGGAAUAGGACCUCGGUUCUAUUUUGUUGGUUUUCGGAGCUUGAGGUAAUGAUUAAGAGGGACGAACGGGGGCAUUCGUAUUGCGGUGUUAGAGGUGAAAUUCUUGGAUCGCCGCAAGACGGACUACUGCGAAAGCAUUUGCCAAGAACGCUUUCAUUAAUUAAGAACGAAAGUCAGAGGUUCGAAGACGAUCAGACACCGUCCUAGUUCUGACCAUAAACGAUGCCGACCAGCGAUCCGUAGUGGUUGCUUUAUGGACCCUACGGGCAGCCUCCGGGAAACCAAAGUAUUUGGGUUCCGGGGGAAGUAUGGUUGCAAAGCUGAAACUUAAAGGAAUUGACGGAAGGGCACACCAGGAGUGGAGCCUGCGGCUUAAUUUGACCCAACACGGGAAAACUCACCCGGUCCGGACACCGUAAGGAUUGACAGACUGAUAGCUCUUUCUUGAUUCGGUGGAUGGUGGUGCAUGGCCGUUCUUAGUUGGUGGAGUGAUUUGUCUGGUUAAUUCCGAUAACGAACGAGACUCUAGCCUGCUAAGUAGUGUUGCUAUU